Molecule: non-coding RNA, 4376 nt
Organism: Sturnus vulgaris (Common starling)
Lineage: Eukaryota; Metazoa; Chordata; Aves; Passeriformes; Sturnidae
Source: RefSeq, a predicted model, not a curated record
UGGCAGUGUUUAGAAUGCUUGCAGGGACUUACCUUUGUCACAGCUUUUAAGGUGUCUAUGGUAGGAAACCAAAAAUGGAUGUGCUAUGACUCUGUGUCAUGUGUGUUUUCAUGAUAAAUUCAGGGCACUUGCUUCACACUGGCAUCCAAAACUGAUAGUCCUGAUUGGUUUUUCACUAGGAAACUUCAUUCUGAAUAAUUCAUGUAAAGAACAGAAAAUUAUUGUGAUAAAUUCUAUACUAAAGUUUUAUUUACUAUAUAGUGCAUAUUACUUAAGCACAGUCAGCAUCUUGCUCAGAAGAAACUUCAGCAUAUUACUUAAAACACAGUCAGCAUCUUUUUACUCACUUCAGUUAAGUGAAUUCCAUUUUGGAGUGGACUCAUUGGCUUAAAGGAGGUUUUCAUAUUUGAAAGAAAAUGUGAACGCCCUUCUGUGUAACCUGAGGCUUGUCAUUGUAGGAAAUAUGAAUUCAUAAAACUUGCCUUGUGAUAAUUGUUAGGCACUAGACUGUCAGUUUGAAUGAUUGCAGUUCUCAUUAUCUUCAGAUGCUGCAUGUUAUUUUUUUUUGUCUGUGAAUAUGUUGAAUUGAUUUUUGGCACAUGCAGUCACUUCUCUUCCUGACAGCAGCACUAUUGUAGGUGUAAAGUGAGAAACUGCUGCAGUGUGCAUGGAAAAUUAGCUUUUUUGCUUGGGGAGCUACGGGGAACUUAAAAUAUAGUUAUUCAGACUGUCUUAAACACACACUGUUGAAGCCUCACUGUUGAGUGAGGCUUUGUUCCUUGAGUGUUGUUCUGUGGUUCUUAAUGACCUCUCUAUAAACACAUACUGAUGUAGACAAUAAAUGUUCUGGGUUUUAAUUUAAAGUAGUUGAAAAUUUUCUGUUUUAUUUUUGGCAGAUAUUUCCACAGAAAGGCAGUGUGAGACGUCUGCAUUUGGUAUUUUAAUAUGGCUGCCUUCUGUGUCUGGUCAUACUUCUUGAAAUAGUUCCUAGGAUGUGAUAAUAGGAAGAUUGGUCUUAAAACAUGAAAUAGUUCGUUUGCUUAAGUUUCAGGCUGCUUUAUUUCAGAAAUGCAAACUGUUUUGAGCCUUAGGACAUUUAUAAGAAUACCCUGUAGCAUUUUGACUGAGCAAAAGCUUUGGACAUGCUCUGUAAUUAGUAGCCUAAUCCUCCAUGUUUGGCUGCUACUUUUUGUUUGGUCUGUUUUCCUGCACUGUGUCACUUUGGUUUAUCCAAGCCAUGCAAUGUGUCUUUCCAGCAAUCUUUUUUCAGCCCCAGAGACACAGUGAUUGUUUAUUUUACCACUCUCAGGACAGUGGGAAUACAGAGGUUUGUGUGCACCACCUCUGAAGAGCUGCAGCUCACAAUCUUUCCUAUGAGUUAAUCUAAAAUCCUUAUUGCCUCGAGAUUACCAGAGGGGGAGAGGUGAAAUCUCUUGGCAGAGAUAAGGGUAGCCUUGUAAGUGAAACACAAGCCUGGGAUUUAUGUAACAAUCCUGAUAUCUGAACUUUGAUAAGCUCAGGUACAGAGAGGUUCAAUCCCUUGGUCACCUGAAGAACUGAAAGUAGAGCACGUCUCCCAGACUUUCUGUAAACCUCAGUUUAUUAAUGUUUUAGCAGAUGUUUGGAGCUCAAAUGGAUGGUGCUGUGGAAUAAUUUAUUGCUGCAGUCACUGAAAAUAGUGUGCCAGUAUUAUUUUCUUAUUUCUGGUUGUGUUCAUAUUUAGAUUUUUCAAGUCAGUUGUUCAAGAGCUGAGGCAUACCAUGAUCUCUUACCUGCCCUUGCUGGGUUAUUAUUGCUAACCCCAGCAUUUCCACGUUAAUUGUGAGUUUCAGACUCUUCCCAAUGGGACCUGCAGAGUCCUUGUGCUGUGAGAACAUGAGGGAUGAAGUCAGAAUAACCAAUAUAUUACCAAGCUUCAUUUAGAGUCAGUGUCUUUAGUUCUUCCCUUGAAGCUAGGGCAAACAAUGGCAGGUGAUUUUUUCCCAAAAUUGUUAUUUAUUUUAGGAAUAGAUGAGAGAAAUUCCUGUAUUGUGGCCUUUUGGAUUGAUCAGAAUUAUUUUCACCGAAAGCAGUUGUGGCCACCUAAGUACAAAUAGUGUAAAAUUUGCUGAGAGGAUGCCUUACUGACUGAGGGGCUUCUGCUUUUGUUAUUUAUUGCAGUGACCAAGUUUCCAUUAAAAAAAACAAGAUUCUGUGUCUAUCGUGAAUAUAAAACACUGUCAUGUUGAGACUAUAGUGUGAGUAUGCAAAAAUAUGUCAGUGUGAACUCUCAGCUAUUUGGCAAAGAGGAAUGUUUAUAAAAGAGGAUUGAAAGAUGUGCAGGGUUUCAGAUCUGUCAUAAAAGGAUGUGAAAUGUAAUUAACCUAACAUAACCUUUAAAAUAUUUUUUGAGCCUGAUAAAUUAAAUGAGCUGUUGAGAUAACUUAAUGAGAGAUUUUAAUUUUAUACCUUAAAUAAUAUCCUAUUAAAAUCCUCAAGAUUUUGCUUUGUGAUGGAAUCCACUGAGAUCUAUAUUUUCACAAUGACCUCAUGAUUCAGUAACAUUGUUAAUAUUUUUGGUGCAUAUUUGAGGGGUAAGGUCUAGGUUAAUGGCAGCAUUUAUUCUUUAAGUGCUUGAAGCCACAAAGCUCUAAUUGAAGAUAGGAAUGUUCAAACCUCAUUAUUUUAAUGUGGUCAUACAGUAUAGUGACACUUAAAGUAGUUAUAUGAUGAACUCCUGUGGCACGGUUCAUAGUUUGUCCAUGAAAACAAAUUAGUAUGUGAAACUUUGAAUUAAAAUUCUCUGCCUUGGAGUUUAAAUAAAACAUGAAACUUCAGGUCUGACAUGGUUUCUGUAUUUGUCUCUGCUCAAAUUAGCAACAAGCAUUUGCAUACCUUUAACACAGAGAAUUCUGCUGUGAAUUGUUUACACAAAGUUACAGUGCAUGCAUUGAAUCUCUCACACAAAGCUGCCUCGGUAGCUGCAGUGUGAUGUUUUUGUUUCAAGUGGUUAAGCCUGCAGAGGUACUUUUGGCAAAUCUGCACCUCAAAUUUUCUAAAUAUUGGUAAUUGAAAUAAUUUAAUGGAUGAGCUGUUGUCAAGGAAAAUACAUGCAGUGCUUAUCACAGUGUCAGGAAUCCAGGGGUUGGAGACAAAGGUCGGAAUGUUCAUUCCUGCUUGCAUUUCAUCAGUGCUGCUAACCUUGGUUAGAGCAGUUUGCACACUGGGCUGUCUCCAGACUCAGCUAGAGCCUUUUAAAGACCUUUCCUGCCUGUUCAGUGUUCCUAAGGUCUCCUUUCCCUCCUGUGUUCUCCCAGCAGUGUUUAUUUUUGUCCAUGGCUUUCCCUACUCCCACAAAAAACCUCCCCACAGUAAAAUUCAGUUCUUACUACUUGAUGAUAACCAGAAAAUUCUGGUUAUUUGUGAAUUUGGGCUGCUUUAUGCACACAUAUACUUCUACUGUGACCUCAUUAGUCCCUCUCCACUGUCAAUUCCUUGGGCAAUGAGCUCCUGGUCUGGCAAGUGUGAACACUGUAGAGUUGUAUCUUGUAUUGCAGUUUUACAGCUGCUCACAAUUUGCACUCCCCUUUUCUACUGCACAGUUACUACUUCUGGUACUACCUUUAUUUCUUUAGUAUCUCCUUGCUAAAUUAACAGUGUUCUGAGUCAUGGGCUUUGAUCCACAAGCUCUUUGAGUCUGCUCAAAUGAUAGUAUGCAACAUAAAAGUCAAGUCUGUGGGUAUUAUUAAAUCUAUCAAUAACUAUUUGUUUGGUUUUAGGUCAGGUUCUGAUGUCUUGCCUUAAAAUUAAUCUAUCAAAUAUUUUCUUUUAAAAUAAAGUAAAAUGUAGAGUGUUAUGAAUUUCAAAUGCAUACAUUUCUUAUCAGAGUUAAUUCUUGAAUCUUAUUAGAAUGAAAUAGGCUAAUGAAAGGGAAGUUUGGCAAGAUAAGUGAUUAGGUAUUUGAAAUGUGUAAUAUAGCAAACACGCAGAACUAUCUGAAUUGAGAGGAAAGAGCUAUGUCAGCAUUGCCAGGUUAUAUUGAUCAGGUAUCAGCAUCAGUCCUGAUUAAACAGGCAGCUGUUUAAAGUGGUAGUUUUGACAGUGACAUCUUUUGUUUUCUAUAUGAUUACUGGCCUGCUGACAUGUUUACUUUCUCAAUAGAAUUUACAUAUUGUGUUUAAAAUGUUGCUGACUGAGAAACUGUUGAAUUAUACAAGGCAGAGUAAAAAGAAAAGCAGACCUUCUUAUGGCUGAUAUGAGCAUGCAUGAAUAUCAGGUAAUAGCUACAAACAAACCAGUUGAUUUAUGUGCCAACUUAAUUCCAAGAGAGCACUCUAAUAAAUUGAAUGGCUUGGUUAUCUUCUUUUUUUUUAUUGAUAAAGGUGAUUUAGAAAUCA